RNAcentral lists this ribosomal RNA (486 nucleotides) under uncultured Pseudomonas sp. RNAcentral's name for it is "bacterial SSU rRNA". It matches the Rfam family "Bacterial small subunit ribosomal RNA", at positions 896 to 1382 of the family's 1533-position model. The record is from RNAcentral. Lineage: Bacteria; Pseudomonadati; Pseudomonadota; Gammaproteobacteria; Pseudomonadales; Pseudomonadaceae.
GAAACUUAAAGGAAGUUGACGGGGCCCGCACAAGCGGUGGAGCAUGUGGUUAAUUCGAAGCAACGCGAAGAACCUUACCAGGCCUUGACAUGCAGAGAACUUUCCAGAGAUGGAUUGGUGCCUUCGGGAACUCUGACACAGGUGCUGCAUGGCUGUCGUCAGCUCGUGUCGCGAGAUGUUGGGUUAAGUCCCGUAACGAGCGCAACCCUUGUCCUUAGUUACCAGCACGUUAUGGUGGGCACUCUAAGGAGACUGCCGGUGACAAACCGGAGGAAGGUGGGGAUGACGUCAAGUCAUCAUGGCCCUUACGGCCUGGGCUACACACGUGCUACAAUAGUCGGUACAAAGGGUUGCCAAGCCGCGAGGUGGAGCUAAUCCCAUAAAACCGAUCGUAGUCCGGAUCGCAGUCUGCAACUCGACUGCGUGAAGUCGGAAUCGCUAGUAAUCGUGAAUCAGAAUGUCACGGUGAAUACGUUCCCGGGCCUU